UGUACUCUGAUUGUAGCAAUCUUAUAUUUUUUCUUAAUAACAUCUUUUGCUGUUUUGCACCUAGACAUAUGAAAUGGAACUUGAAUAAAUUGGUCAGUAAUGAGCCAAUCUUUGUCAUUCCUUAAAUGAGCUCUCGGAUUACUAUCAUUAUUUCUUCUAGCUAUAUCCCUUUUUACUUUAUUCAGUAUGGACCUCAUGAAGUUCAUAGUAUAACUAUGUUUCCUGCCUAUGUUAAAAACCUUAGUUACUUCUUUGUGUCCUUCAAUCAUGUUUGUGUGGCUGAUGCUUCUCUUAAAAUAUGUGUAGAAGGCAACUUUUUUUACACAAGAUUGGGCCUUCUGACCAGUAAAGAAUAAUUAGGCAGUUAACUAUUUGUUUCUGUAUACCUUGGUGGAAUAAAAGAUCUGUUUGGCUUUUAUCUAUAUG
This 426-nucleotide long non-coding RNA is filed under the name Androctonus crassicauda. The record is from RNAcentral. Lineage: Eukaryota; Metazoa; Arthropoda; Arachnida; Scorpiones; Buthidae.